GUGCCUAACACAUGCAAGUCGAGCGCGAAAGUGACCUUCGGGUGUGGGAGUAAAGCGGCGCACGGGUGAGUAACGCGUAGGUAACCUGCCCCUAAGUCCGGGAUAACCUUGCGAAAGCGAGGCUAAUACCGGAUAUAGCCUCUGAAGCUGUGGCUUUAGAGGUGAAAGGUGACCUCUCCAUGGAAGUUGCCGCUUAGGGAGGGGCCUGCGUCCUAUCAGCUAGUUGGUGGGGUAACGGCCCACCAAGGCUAUGACGGGUAGCUGGUCUGAGAGGACGGCCAGCCACACUGGCACUGAAACACGGCCCAGACUCCUACGGGAGGCAGCAGUGAGGAAUCUUGGGCAAUGGGCGAAAGCCUGACCCAGCGACGCCGCGUGGGGGAAGAAGGCCUUCGGGUCGUAAACCCCUGUCAGGAGGGAAGAAAGGGAUAGCCCCUAAUAAGGGUUAUCCUUGACAGUACCUCCAGAGGAAGCACCGGCUAACUCCGUGCCAGCAGCCGCGGUAAUACGGAGGGUGCGAGCGUUAUUCGGAAUUACUGGGCGUAAAGCGCACGUAGGCGGUGGGGCAAGCCAGGUGUGAAAGCCCUCGGCUUAACCGAGGAAGUGCAUCUGAAACUGCCCCACUAGAGUUCGGGAGAGGACGGCGGAAUUCCCGGUGUAGGGGUGAAAUCCGUAGAUAUCGGGAGGAACACCAGUGGCGAAGGCGGCUUCCUGGACCGAUACUGACGCUGAGGCGCGAAAGCGUGGGGAGCGAACAGGAUUAGA
Molecule: ribosomal RNA, 765 nt
Filed under: uncultured bacterium
Lineage: Bacteria
Description: bacterial SSU rRNA
Rfam family: Bacterial small subunit ribosomal RNA
Source: RNAcentral